Serinus canaria (Common canary) is the source of this 208-nucleotide long non-coding RNA. RefSeq lists it as uncharacterized. The transcript is spliced from 3 exons. NCBI's taxonomy places the organism in Eukaryota, Metazoa, Chordata, Aves, Passeriformes, Fringillidae. The record is from RefSeq and is a predicted model, not a curated record.
CCCACCCUGCCCCCUCCCCAGCUCUCACCAUCUCGUAGUCCCUCAGGGCAGCCUUGAACUUGCCCAGGGCCAUGUUGCUGGCCAUGUGCCCCCAGGUGACCCACCCUGACCCCAGGUAACCCACACUGACCCCAGGUGACCCACAAUGACACAGGGAGCACACCCUGACCCCAGGACACCCACCCUGACCCCAGGUGACCCACCCUGA